AGGGCUUUAUCUUAAUUAAAAGAGUCUGGGUUGCAUUCAGAAAAUGUAGGUUAAAAUCCUGCAAGCCUUA
RNAcentral lists this transfer RNA (70 nucleotides) under Chalcorana labialis. RNAcentral's name for it is "tRNA-Ala". It matches the Rfam family "tRNA". From Rfam's summary of the family: Transfer RNA (tRNA) molecules are approximately 80 nucleotides in length. Lineage: Eukaryota; Metazoa; Chordata; Amphibia; Anura; Ranidae. The record is from RNAcentral.